Molecule: transfer RNA, 76 nt
Filed under: Escherichia coli BCE030_MS-09
Lineage: Bacteria; Pseudomonadati; Pseudomonadota; Gammaproteobacteria; Enterobacterales; Enterobacteriaceae
Description: tRNA-Asn
Rfam family: tRNA
About the family: Transfer RNA (tRNA) molecules are approximately 80 nucleotides in length. Their secondary structure includes four short double-helical elements and three loops (D, anti-codon, and T loops).
Source: RNAcentral
UCCUCUGUAGUUCAGUCGGUAGAACGGCGGACUGUUAAUCCGUAUGGCACUGGUUCGAGACCAGUCAGAGGAGCCA